RNAcentral lists this ribosomal RNA (60 nucleotides) under Diplodia mutila. RNAcentral's name for it is "partial 28S ribosomal RNA". The record is from RNAcentral. Lineage: Eukaryota; Fungi; Ascomycota; Dothideomycetes; Botryosphaeriales; Botryosphaeriaceae.
UUGACCUCGGAUCAGGUAGGGAUACCCGCUGAACUUAAGCAUAUCAAUAAUCGGAGGAGA